Molecule: long non-coding RNA, 8768 nt
Organism: Nematostella vectensis (starlet sea anemone)
Lineage: Eukaryota; Metazoa; Cnidaria; Anthozoa; Actiniaria; Edwardsiidae
Exons: 2
Source: RefSeq, a predicted model, not a curated record
GUUGGAAAGCUUGGAUACCGCUGACUAGGUGCAACUCAGAAUAGGGGGGAGGUAUCUGUUUUCAGUCUGUUUUUUGUAAAUUCAGCUAAAAAAAAGCCAAGAGUCAAUGGGUUAAUUUAAUGUAUACUGAUGGCGAUAAAAAAACAUCUCCAAGAGAUAAUAGCGGAGCCACAUAGAUAUAGAUAUAUGGUAUAGCUAUGCGACUUGGUUUUGUGGUCAUCGCGCGGGUAUCUUGUGGUGUCACAAUCUAUCCAUCCAGCCCAAGGCCCCACUCGGUCUUACGUUUUCACGUAUUUUUAUUUUUUUACCGCCUUCAAAGUUCGUGUGUUCACAGCAAAAAAGGCAGAUUGAAAAUAGUAUUUAAUGAGAAAAUAUGCGGAUUCAAAUGGGCUGAAAUCUUUGAGGAACCGUUUUGUCUGAAGCCGAUAGUAAAACCUACCCGAGUGUUCGUGAAUCCCGUCCGUUGCAGCAGCAAAAAGAAGACUACUUAGAGGCUCUACACUACCAUUUUAAUAAUAUUCCUUCACGUCUAUAUCUAUGGAGAUCUAUAAGGAGAUCCUGAGAAGAAAGUGCCUUGGAUUGAUGUAUGUUUUCAGCUAUAAAAAAAAUCACUUGUGUCGACGAGUUUCUUGCUAGCAGAAAGCCGACAAGUUCACAGUUUACAACAAAAAGCGAACACAACCACACACAGAAAGCGACAAAAAACACUGCCAAGGUAAAACCAACCAAGGACUACCCGAGGGCCAUGAUUGAUGCUGAAGGCUGGGAGGCAUGAGAAUAGGCAAAUGUCUUAAAGAUAAUAAAGUAGGGGAUUUCUUACUUUGAUACAGCAGUAAAUGUGAAAUAGGCUUUUUUAGAGCAAAUACUUGCCCUCAAUGAUAAAUCUGAAAACAUUUUUUCUAUCAACCUGAAGAUAAUUAGGAAAGGGGAAAUGUUAGGAGAGUGCUCAACCAAGUUGUUGCAUUACUGAUGAUUUUUCUAUCAAAGAUAUAGUCCAAUUUCUUCCUUUUCUCUCUCUCUCUCUCUCUUGAUUAUUGAUAUUAUUUGCUGUUUCCUCUCUGCACCCUAAAUAAAUUAAAAUAGGUAAUAGGUUUGAAAUUAGACAUUUUCAAUCAAUUUGUUCUCCUCCAUUGCAUUUAAUUUAGGAGUAGCAUUAGCAUAUGUGGAUCCAUGGUUUCUAUAAAAAAACAGCAGGCCACCAUCCUAAAGGGUGGGUGCACCAAUGUCUAAUACUGGAGGUAUAUUUGUGGAUCUUAAUUUCCUUGGUGAUAGAGUAUCACCAGUAAUAAGUGAUAGAUUAAUCUUCCAUAUGGCAUCUGAAGUGUAUCUAACUAUAUCAUUCUAUCUUUGGAAUGCUGUUGCAUCCAUCAUUUGUUUCUUUGCAAGGGCAAAGCUGGUCAGAAUGUAGCUUUGAUACAAGUUUACAUUAAUGAAACUUCUAUCAGGGGAAGGGUUUUUUAUUAGAGCAAGGUCCAGGGGGGACUCUCCAGAAAGAUAGACGGGGGUGCUCAACCUAUCUUUUACGGUAUACAAUUUUUUUUCCAACUGCUAUCUCUUAGGGUGUGUUUUAGGAUUUUUCCGAUUCUGCUAUCUUUUAAGGUUUCUCACGUUAAGUGGUGGCCCAAUCGCUUGAAAUGUAUUUUACAAUAAACCACAAGUCAACUGAUCGGUUAAUACUUUCUACUUUAUUGUUGGUAACAUAACAAUAUAAGAUCCGUCAGCAAAUUAAAACCAGCAUUGUUUUUUUUAAUGCUGUCUCUCAGGGUUAAAAGUUCCUCUGACUACACCUGUGCUAUCUCUGAGGGGUAAGAAUUGUUGUUGACCACGCCCUUAGUGCUAUUCCUUAGGGUUAAAAUUGAUUAUGCUGUCGAGCACCCCGAGCACCCCCGUCUCUCAAACUCCCGUUUCUCAAAGCCCCUCCCCCCUGGGAGCAAGGUACUUAAACUAUAUAAGGACAACAUCAAACUUGUGCAUUUUCAAUAAUAAAUCUGUAAAGAAAACCUAUAGUUAAAUAGAAAGGGGAAAAUGUUAGGAAUAUGCUCAUUUAAGCUAUUAUUGCAUUAUUGUUAUAUAUUUUUAAAAGUAGAGUCACAUUUUUUCAAAUAUAGAGUCAUUCAUUUCUCCCUUUUUCUUCUCCCCAUUGACUUUUUGUUAUAUUUAUUUCUCUCUAACCCUAACAUAGGUCAACAUGGUUUGGUUUGAAAUUAGAAAUUGGAAUUAAGCACUUUCAGUAUAACUUUAGGAUUUGCCUCCAUUGCAUUCAUUUUUAAAAUAAUGACAAAAAUUUUUGGGCCAAAUCCCCCCCUUGGCAAAAAGCUAGAUCCGCCUCUGAACUGCAGUACGGCAUCUUAAUCUUUGGAAUGCUGUUACAUCCUUGGUAUAUUCUUCACAAGGUCAAGCUUGUUAGAAUGUUGUUUUGAUAAAAAUAUACAUAGUGGAACUUCUAAAAAGGGAAAUAAGAAUUGACCAUUAGACUCUUGAAAAAAACAUUCUCGUCAACUAAACACCUUGAACCUUGACAGCCUUUCUCACACCAAGUUUUAGUAUUUUGUUGACUUUCACACUGCUUAUUUAAUAUUAUUGAAUGAGUUCUGCUUGAUCUAUUUGGAGGGGCCAAUACAAUUCAUAAUAACAUGGCAGUAAAAUUUGACAUAUUUUUAAUCUCAUUAAAAAACAUUCUAGAGACACCCCCUAAAACUACCCCUAUCAGUCAACACAAAAAGGUGUUAAAUGCAGGGCCUAAAUCUAUAUAUUAUUUUAAUUAGUGUUGGUUUGAGAAAAAUACAAACUACAUAGGUUUCCCUACAGGUCUGUUUCGUGGUUGCCCACUCAUCAGGGGAUUUUAAUUGAUUGAGCAAACGAAGAAAAACAAUAGUGCAGUUUUUAUCAUGUUUGGAGUCUAACGAUAACUUUCAACUACAUUUUUUCGACAAGAAUUCAAGGGAAAAUUAAGAUGUAACACUAAUUCUACAACACUUGCGCGUAAUCAAUCUUCUGAUUGGUUGUUAGCUGGUAAAUCAGAGGAUAUACUACGGGAUUCAUCAUCCACACAAUACUUGCAGAAGGAUAACACCCCAUGUUACACAUCAAUCCCAUCUGAGACACACACCCCAUGUUACACAUCAUUCCCAUCUGAGACGCCCCAUGUUACACAUCAAUCCCAUCUGAGACACACACCCCACGUUACACAUCAAUCCCAUCUGAGAUACACAACCUAUGUUAUACAUCAAUCCCAUCUGAGACCAACACCCCAUGUUACACAUCAAUCCCAUCUAAGACACACACCCCAUGUUAUACAUCAAUCCCAUCUGAGACCAACACCCCAUGUUACACAUCAAUCCCAUCUGAGAGACACACCCCAUGUUACACAUCAAUCCCAUCUGAGACCCACACCCCAUGUUACACAUCAAUCCAACUGAGACACACCCCAUGUUACACAUCAAUCCCAUCUGAGACACACACCCCAUGUUAUACAUCAAUCCCAUCUGAGACCCACACCCAACGUUACACAUCAAUCCCAUCUGAGACACACCCCACGUUACACAUCAAUCCCAUCUGAGACACACAACCAAUGUUAUACAUCAAUCCCAUCUGAGACGCACCCAAUAUCACACAUCAAUCCCAUCUGAGACACCCCAUAUCACACAUCAAUCCCAUCUGAGACCAACACCUCAUAUCAGACAUCAAUCCCAUCUGAGACACGCCCCAUAUCACACAUCAAUUCCAUCUGAAACCCCAUGUUACACAUCAAUCCCAUCUGAGACGCACCCCAUAUCACACAUUAAUCCUAUCUGAGACACCCCAUAUCACACAUCAAUCCCAUCUGAGACCCGCCCCAUAUCACACAUCAAUCCCAUCUGAAAUCCCAUGUUACACAUCAAUCCUAUCUGAGACACACACCCCAUGUUACACAUCAAUCCCAUAUGAGACACACCCCAUGUUAUACAUCAAUCCCAUCUGAGACACACACCCCACGUUACACAUCAAUCCCAUCUGAGACCCCAUGUUACACAUCAAUCCCAUCUGAGACCCACACCCCACGUUACACAUCAAUCCCAUCUGAGACCCACACCCCACGUUACACAUCAAUCCCAUCUGAGACACACAACCCAUGUUACAAAUCAUUCCCAUCUGAGACACACACCCCAUGUUAUACAUCAAUCCCAUCUGAGACACACACCCCAUGUUACACAUCAUUCCCAUCUGAGACACACCCCAUGUUACACAUCAAUCCCAUCUGAGAUCCACAACCCACGUUACACAUCAAUCCCAUCUGAGACCCACAACCCAUGUUGCACAUCAAUCCCAUCUGAGACCAACACCCCAUGUUACACAUCAAUCCCAUCUGAGACACACACCCCAUGUUACACAUCAAUCCCAUCUGAGACACACACCCCAUGUUACACAUCAAUCCCAUCUGAGACCCCAUGUUACACAUCAAUCCCAUCUGAGACCCCAUGUUACACAUCAAUCCCAUCUGAGACCCCAUGUUACACAUCAAUCCCAUCUGAGACCCACAACCCACGUUACACUUCAAUCCCAUCUGAGACCCACAACCCAUGUCACAACACAUCAACCCUAUCAGAGACCCCAUGUUACACAUCAUUCCCAUUUGAGACACACCCCAUAUCACACAUCAAUCCCAUCUGAGACCCCAUGUUACACAUCAAUCCCAUCUGAGACCCCAUGUUACACAUCAAUCCCAUCUGAGACCCACAACCCAUGUUACACAUCAUUCCCAUCUGAGACACACCCAUGUUACACAUUAAUCCCAUCUGAGCCCCACAACCCACGUUACUCAUCAAUCCCAUCUGAGACACACACCCCAUGUUAUACAUCAUUCCCAUCUGAGACACGCCCCAUAUCACACAUCAAUCCCAUCUGAGACCCACACCCCACGUUACACAUCAAUCCCAUCUGAGACACACAACCCAUGUUACAAAUCAUUCCCAUCUGAGACACACACCCCAUGUUAUACAUCAAUCCCAUCUGAGACACACACCCCAUGUUACACAUCAUUCCCAUCUGAGACACACCCCAUGUUACACAUCAAUCCCAUCUGAGAUCCACAACCCACGUUACACAUCAAUCCCAUCUGAGACCAACACCCCAUGUUACACAUCAAUCCCAUCUGAGACACACACCCCAUGUUGCACAUCAAUCCCAUCUGAGACACACACCCCAUGUUACACAUCAAUCCCAUCUGGGACACACACCCCAUGUUACACAUCAAUCCCAUCUGAGACCCCAUGUUACACAUCAAUCCCAUCUGAGACCCCAUGUUACACAUCAAUCCCAUCUGAGACCCCAUGUUACACAUCAAUCCCAUCUGAGACCCACAACCCACGUUACACUUCAAUCCCAUCUGAGACCCACAACCCAUGUCACAACACAUCAACCCUAUCAGAGACCCCAUGUUACACAUCAUUCCCAUUUGAGACACACCCCAUAUCACACAUCAAUCCCAUCUGAGACCCCAUGUUACACAUCAAUCCCAUCUGAGACCCACAACCCACGUUACUCAUCAAUCCCAUCUGAGACACACACCCCAUGUUAUACAUCAUUCCCAUCUGAGACACGCCCCAUAUCACACAUCAAUCCCAUCUGAGACCCACAACCCACGUUACACAUCAAUCCAAUCUGAGACACACACCCCAUGUCACAACACAUCAACCCAAACUGAGACCCCCACCUAAUGUUGUUCAUCAAACCCCUCUGAGACAAAUAGUUAAUGCCCCAAACCCAACCCCCAUGUAACAAACACCCCGUCCCACACAAAAACCUAUGAAACCAACACACCAUGUAACGAAUCAAACACCUUUGAGACCAACACAACAUUUACCACGCCAAUACCAUCCGAGACCGAUUGCUCGUGUUUACAUCAAAAUCCUCCAAGAUCAAUAGAAAAACUAUAUUAAACCUCUUAUACCAAUGACCCAUGUCCAUCCGACGCCCAUUUUUGUAAGAAAAAUCUCAAAAUUCAAGCUAAGCUUUGCAACAUUGUUUAAUGCAUGUCUAGCUGAGCAGUUCAUAAAAAGUUUUCUAGUUGAAUAAGAAGUGCUUAUGGAUAAAUUAACUUAGCUAUAAUUCAAUUCUGACCAACUACAGGAUUAUUUUUCAGUAAAAUAACUCCCUUUGGUACAUACUUUUCGCAUAUGUGAACUUAACACAAAAGCGUUUGCAAACAUACGGAUGGACAUUUAUGUAUAGAUAAUCCUUGAACAUUUUGUCAUUUUAAAUAGCCAAGAAUUAAAUUGAGCUGUAAGGGGCUAAAAUUAAAAUCAUCGAUUCCUGUCUCCGGUGAAGGUAAGAAUCCUGAGUCGGUCAUUAAUGGGCGACGCCUGUGGUCUUUGUGUUUCUUUGAGCUCUGGGUAAACGCUCUUGGAGGGCAGGAAGCCCUUAUGGUGUGUAUGAAUAGUAAGCGACUCGAUGUCUCUCAUAUGGCCAUCUCAAGUGCAAGUCCUUAAACUACAGCUUACUCUUUAUUCGAAACAUUUUUUUAAAAUGAAUUACUCCUUUUUGUAUUUACGGGUGUUUUAUGAUGGAAGCAGUAAACGAAAGCAGACUUAAACUUGAAUGCGUUUGUUUUCAGAAGUACUUAAACAAGUUCUUGUGUUGUCUAUUAAGUAAUAAAAAAGAAUGAGACAGAAAGCAACGAGAGCAGAGAGGCAAUUCUUGCGUUUAAAAGUGCGCACUUCACAAUCACGACGUUCCAGAUUUGUUACCUAAUCAAAAUAUACCAUAUAUGAUGGGCAAAUUUAUUACUUUGGCGUCAGAAGUUGGGCUUAUAUCCGAUACCGUUUCUUGGUAAACAAUAAGCGUUGAGCCGCAGGGGUAGCGCAUACACGCGCUUCUACCUAAUCGUAACCAUCAACACACCACACAAGGUAUAUGAUGGAAGAAUGUCCCUAUCACCCUGAUACCAUGACUUUGAUAUCGCUCUGCUUCGGGCGAUUCUUUCUAAGGCUGGAUUCUGGAUAGGGGCUACUUGGAGAAAGAACACAAAGGGUAAGUCGCCCUCGUUUAAUAUCCAGGUGAACAUGUUCUCGUAUCCGUGACAAGGCAAAUGUUCUUUUGCGUGGGCUUGGCGGGAAACAGAGCGCGUUUCCCUCAUGCUAUCAAUCAGAAAAUCAGUAAUCGGUAGAUUUGUGGAUUAAGCCGCUCUAUAAGUCACGAUAACUCAUCUCAGGCAGGAUAAUCCGUAAAGGGGGAUUGAAGAUUCGAGAUGAAGGUGAUUACGCAGUCGCCUCGACAACAUAUCCGCUGUGCGCAGGACUAAUGAACCUUCGCAGCUACACAUCUAGUGGCCUUGCGCAUUGCACAUAUUGCAUUGCGUCACAAAGGGUGUAAAAACGAUAACGUGACUGAACUCCAGCUUUACAAAAAGCGCCGUGUUGCUCGUAUUAAAAAAUAUUUUUCAAUUAUUUGCAAUCGCUUUAUCCCCUUAGAGAUAUCUUAGCGGGUAAAACGAAUGUGCUGCCUUAUAACGCUAAGCCGUUUAUUUCUUUCUGCGCAUGCUCUUGUUGCGUGCUAUCCUAAGGCUUGUUGUGGUACAAACAGUUCCCGGCGCCUUGCAGACCAUUCAUGUGCCCCGCACUAACAACCGCCAUUAAAGGAUUAACGUCGAGAGGCCUUUUACAGCAAACGGAAAAACGGUGUCCGAUGAUGUUCUAAAAAGAAAAGAAUAUUGUCUGCUUUACAGGAUUUGACUUAAUUUCUUUACCAAGAAUUGACUGUCAGAGUGAGUAAGUUUAAAAGAAAAGUUAACUUUUACAAAUCUCCGCUAAUUUGAUCGAAACAAAGUCUGAUGUACGUCUUAUGGCGAACUUACUAUUAUCAUCGUUGGAAUAUCGAAAAAAAAAACAGUGCAAAAAAAGCUAGUUGUCUGUCUAAGUUAAGACGGUGUCAGAUUAAGAUAUAUUACUAAAAAGCUCAAAAAAACUCUCUUAGACGCAUGUGUACUGUUUCGAUUGUGCCGUCGUUGUGCAUUUGUUCGGGCGGAUAACACAUGCGGAAAACAGGGUAAUUAAGAUUUGAUAGCACUGAUUCCAGUUUGAUCCCCUUAUCCUGCGUCCUGUUUAACUCUCGUAAAUCCCGGAACAUGGCUAAUAACAGAACAGAUAAAAAAAUAGUGAAAAACAAUACAUCUGCGAAGCCGCAAGGGAGGUUUCAUAUUACUCAGAAUAUAGAAAUGACUCAGAUAUGAGUAAAGCCUACCUUCAGAAAUCGCCUUUGCAUAUUAGAAUGUAAUACACUUUGUUCGGAUUUACACUGUUAUCAAAUAAGGUUGCUAAUGUCUAGAUUUUAUUCAUAAUUGUUUAUCUUUUCUUACUAGUGUUGCAACAAUAAAAGUCUCAUUUGCAGAGUGUCUAGUGACGAUAACUAACUAGUAUGAGUAUAGAUUUCUUUCUUACUAGUGUUGCAACAAUAAAAGUCUCAUUUGCAGAGUGUCUAGUGACGAUAACUAACUAGUAUGAGUAUAGAUUUCUUUCUUACUAGUGUUGCAACAAUAAAAGUCUCAUUUGCAGAGUGUCUAGUGACGAUAACUAGUAUGAGUAUAGAUUUCUUUUUCAUAUCAAGGCGAGGCCGUACACUUGAGUGAAUACUUGCAAAUCAAAGCUUUUACUGUCGUUCGCCAUUUGAUAGGAAUCCGAUUAUCAUUUUACAGCUGAAUGUUUUCACCCUGAUCAUUAGAACUCUUUCUCCAUCAAGCUACCUACACGCAAAAAACGCCACUGCGUCCCUGAAGUAACUGCACAAAUACAGCA